Molecule: long non-coding RNA, 697 nt
Organism: Pseudomyrmex gracilis
Lineage: Eukaryota; Metazoa; Arthropoda; Insecta; Hymenoptera; Formicidae
Exons: 3
Source: RefSeq, a predicted model, not a curated record
CAAACCUAUUGUUACAUAUAUUAUGUUCAAUAAACAAAACAUUACAUUGUUUUUCUGACAUGUAUUGAAUCGGUACUAUCUCUUUUUUUUUCCAGAGUUUUUCAUCGAUAGUAGAUCCUAAUGGAAGUGGCAAAAGCAAUGUGAUAGACUCAAUGCUGUUUGUAAUCGGUUAUCGAGCCACCAAGAUCAGAUCCAAAAAGAUAUCAGUUUUAAUACACAAUUCCAAGAAAGAUUCAAAUAUCAGAAGCUGUUCCUGUGCAUUUUCAGCAAAUUAUUGACGAGAAGUUUCAAAAGAAACGCACAUAAAUCUGCGAACGAUGAACAGAUGUCGUAUACAAUUAAAAUAUGGUUGGCACAUGCCUGGAAACGCAUCUAUCGAGAGGAAGAAAAAAGAAGAAGAAAAGAUCAAGAUAUAGAAGGGAAACAAUGAUUUCUUUCUGUAACAAUCCACUCUCCAGGGAUUUUUUGAUGCUAAGAUUAGCGAAGAAUGUCGUAUUAGCUUCAGAGCACUUAAUUUCUUUUUUAUCAAUCUUUAACGUGUCGACAUUUACAGAUAUAUUUUAUCACAUCCAACUAAUUAAUUUUAUUCUUAACGUAUGAAAAUAGUUGAACCAUACAACUAAUUACUAAACUUAUUAAAUAUUACUAUACUUAUAAAAUUUUCUUCUGAAUGAAAAAUGUAAUUGAAAACAUUUGA